Zootermopsis nevadensis is the source of this 848-nucleotide non-coding RNA. The record is from RefSeq and is a predicted model, not a curated record. Lineage: Eukaryota; Metazoa; Arthropoda; Insecta; Blattodea; Termopsidae.
AUACGACCAAAAUCAGUCCUUUGCGCAUGUGAUAGCACUUCUCGCGCGACCUAUGCUGCAAGGUGUCGUGUUGUUUCAACCCACUUUAUUUGCUGUCGAUUAAUCUGUGUAUCGUGGAAUUAUCUCGUAGUCUCACUAAAGAGAACUAUAAUACUCAUUGAAACGUUUAUUGCAAUCAUUCAGUCCCGUAGCCAGUGCUCAAUUGUACCUAGAUAAUUCUCGAGAAAACUGACAUGUUGCAAUGAUUUAUGGAACGUUGCCCCAUGAGCUGGUUUGUUCGCAUGCAGUGCCAGCGGUGGGAGGGUGUUGACAUAUCACUUACAUGCAGACUGAAGAGAACACGAGAGACAAGUCCACGCUAGACCACAGCAGGCCACAUGGUGCAAUAUUAGAUUUAGCUGACUCGAAGAUUGUUUGGAACGAUCAAAGUGAAUAUAUGAGGUUGUGACUUUGGAAGUUUAGGAUAGUAUGUUUGAAAGGGCGGCCUCUGAUCCACAAGGUGUCGAAUGCGUAACUAUAUCCAGAAAAUCGCCCCAGUUAUUUUUUUCUCGGUUGUUUUUGUUGAUUCUUUAAACAACCUGGGGUAGAAGCAGUGUAGUUUGGUUCGUAAGUCGAAUUGCUCUUUUUGAAUCGGGUGGAGCUCAUUCACUUCUCGAACAGCCCUAGUGAGUUGUAUUUUGUUUAAGAGCGUGUCAACAAUGCCAAAUAAACUUCCGUGUCUUUAGGAUGAAUUCAACUUGCACAUUGCCGAUUUCACGCGAGUGUAUUUCCAUGCUGGUGGUAAGAAAACCACUGACAGUAAUCUAAGAAGGCUGUGUUAUGAAAAUGAAGUGAAGUGGCCGUUGAAG